RNAcentral lists this transfer RNA (68 nucleotides) under Paracymoriza prodigalis. Its description in RNAcentral is "tRNA-Met". The record is from RNAcentral. Lineage: Eukaryota; Metazoa; Arthropoda; Insecta; Lepidoptera; Crambidae.
UUAAAAAUAAGCUAAUUUAAGCUUUUGGGUUCAUACCUCAAACAUAAAGAUAAUAUCUUUUUUUUAAA